This 262-nucleotide ribosomal RNA is filed under the name uncultured bacterium. Its description in RNAcentral is "partial 16S ribosomal RNA". It matches the Rfam family "Bacterial small subunit ribosomal RNA", at positions 524 to 785 of the family's 1533-position model. The record is from RNAcentral.
UAAGAAGGGUGCAAGCGUUAAUCGGAAUUACUGGGCGUAAAGCGCGCGUAGGUGGUUCGUUAAGUUGGAUGUGAAAGCCCCGGGCUCAACCUGGGAACUGCAUCCAAAACUUGCGAGCUAGAGUAUGGCAGAGGGUGGUGGAAUUUCCUGUGGAGCGGUGACAUGCGUAGAUAUAGGAAGGAACACCAGUGGCGAAGGCGACCACCUGGGCUAAUACUGACACUUAUGUGCUCAAGCGUGGUGAUCACACAGGAUUAGAUAC